RNAcentral lists this ribosomal RNA (468 nucleotides) under uncultured bacterium. RNAcentral's name for it is "partial 16S ribosomal RNA". It matches the Rfam family "Bacterial small subunit ribosomal RNA", at positions 28 to 507 of the family's 1533-position model. The record is from RNAcentral.
GACGAACGCUGGCGGCGUGCUUAACACAUGCAAGUCGAACGGAAAGGCCCUGCUUUUGUGGGGUGCUCGAGUGGCGAACGGGUGAGUAACACGUGAGUAACCUGCCCUUGACUUUGGGAUAACUUCAGGAAACUGGGGCUAAUACCGGAUAGGAGCUCCUGCUGCAUGGUGGGGGUUGGAAAGUUUCGGCGGUUGGGGAUGGACUCGCGGCUUAUCAGCUUGUUGGUGGGGUAGUGGCUUACCAAGGCUUUGACGGGUAGCCGGCCUGAGAGGGUGACCGGCCACAUUGGGACUGAGAUACGGCCCAGAAUCCUACGGGAGGCAGCAGUGGGGAAUAUUGCACAAUGGGCGGAAGCCUGAUGCAGCAACGCCGCGUGCGGGAUGACGGCCUUCGGGUUGUAAACCGCUUUCGCCUGUGACGAAGCGUGAGUGACGGUAAUGGGUAAAGAAGCACCGGCUAACUAUGUG